Molecule: ribosomal RNA, 676 nt
Filed under: uncultured bacterium
Lineage: Bacteria
Description: bacterial SSU rRNA
Rfam family: Bacterial small subunit ribosomal RNA
Source: RNAcentral
CGCCCGUGACUGUAUAGCUAGAGUGUGUCAGAGGGGGGUAGAAUUCCACGUGUAGCAGUGAAAUGCGUAGAUAUGUGGAGGAAUACCAAUGGCGAAGGCAGCCCCCUGGGAUAACACUGACGCUCAUGCACGAAAGCGUGGGGAGCAAACAGGAUUAGAUACCCUGGUAGUCCACGCCCUAAACGAUGCUGACUAGUUGUUGGGAAUUUACAUUCUCAGUAACGUAGCUAACGCGUGAAGCCAGCCGCCUGGGGAGUACGGUCGCAAGAUUAAAACUCAAAGGAAUUGACGGGGACCCGCACAAGCGGUGGAUGAUGUGGAUUAAUUCGAUGCAACGCGAAAAACCUUACCCACCUUUGACAUGUACGGAAGUCGCUAGAGAUAGCUUCGUGCUCGAAAGAGAACCGUAACACAGGUGCUGCAUGGUUGUCGUCAGCUCGUGUCGUGAGAUGUUGGGUUAAGUCCCGCAACGAGCGCAACCCUCGUUCUGUGUUGCCAGCAUUUAGUUGGGGACUCACAGGAGACUGCCGGGGUUAACUCGGAGGAAGGUGGGGAUGACGUCAAAUCAUCAUGCCCCUUAUGUCUUGGGCUGCACGCAUGCUACAAUGGCUGGUACAAACGGCUGCAAUACCGCAAGGUGGAGCGAAUCCGAGAAAGCCAGUCUCAGUUCGGAUUG